CCGGAGAUGGAUUCUGAGACACGAAUCCAGACCCUACGGGGUGCAGCAGGCGCGAAAACUUCACACUGCAGGAAACUGUGAUGAGGGAACUCCAAGUGCAUGCACAAUGUGUAUGCUUUUCCUAACUUUUAAUCGGUUAGGGAAUAAGGGCUGGGAAAGACCGGUGCCAGCCGCCGCGGUAAUACCGGCAGCUCAAGUGGUCGUCGCUUUUAUUGGGCCUAAAACGUCCGUAGCCUGUUUGGUAAAUCUGUGGGUAAAUCAACCAGCUUAACUGGUUGAAUUCUGCAGAGACUGCCAGACUAGGGACCGGGAGAGGUGUGGGGUACUCUCGGGGUAGGGGUAAAAUCCUGUCAUCCUGGGAGGACCACCAGUUGCGAAGGCGCCACACUGGAACGGAUCCGACGGUCAGGGACGAAGCCUAGGGGCACGAACCGGAUUAGAUACCCGGGUAGUCCUAGGAGUAAACGCUGUGAACUUGGUGUCGGGGAUCCUACUUGGGUUCCCGGUGCCGGAGUGAAGAUGUUAAGUUCACUGCCUGGGGAGUACGGUCGCAAGGCUGAAACUCAAAUGAAUUGACGG
Molecule: ribosomal RNA, 579 nt
Filed under: uncultured euryarchaeote
Lineage: Archaea; Methanobacteriati; Methanobacteriota
Description: bacterial SSU rRNA
Rfam family: Archaeal small subunit ribosomal RNA
Source: RNAcentral